CACAAACGCCUUCAGGUAGAUGGCCCUGCUCGAUCUGUUGAAAAGGCAUAGGUAGUAACUCUAUAAAAUAUACCCAGUGUAAGCUAUGGACACAUGAGAGGGUGCAGCAAUAUCAAAGGAAGGCUAACUGGGAAGAUAGUUUUUGUAUGUGGCAGAUGCUCAGGAGGAAUAAGCACUG
This is a long non-coding RNA of Octopus sinensis (East Asian common octopus), 178 nucleotides long. RefSeq lists it as uncharacterized. The transcript is spliced from 2 exons. Lineage: Eukaryota; Metazoa; Mollusca; Cephalopoda; Octopoda; Octopodidae. The record is from RefSeq and is a predicted model, not a curated record.